GGACGAACGCUGGCGGCGUGCCUAAUACAUGCAAGUCGAACGGUCUUUCUAUGGAAGCUUGCUUCCGCUGAGAAGAUAGUGGCGAACGGGUGAGUAACACGUGGGUAACCUGCCCAUAAGAGGGGGAUAACAUCCGGAAACGGGUGCUAAUACCGCAUAGUUUUCUUGAUCGCAUGAUCGGGAAAGAAAAGACGGCCUUUGUGCUGUCGCUUAUGGAUGGACCCGCGGCGUAUUAGUUAGUUGGUGAGGUAACGGCUCACCAAGACGAUGAUACGUAGCCGACCUGAGAGGGUGAUCGGCCACAUUGGGACUGAGACACGGCCCAAACUCCUACGGGAGGCAGCAGUAGGGAAUCUUCCGCAAUGGACGAAAGUCUGACGGAGCAACGCCGCGUGAGUGAAAGAAGGUUUUCGGAUCGUAAAACUCUGUUGUCAGAGAAGAACAAGUUGGAGAGUAACUGCUCCAGCCUUGACGGUAUCUGACCAGAAAGCCACGGCUAACUACGUGCCAGCCGCCGC
This 518-nucleotide ribosomal RNA is filed under the name uncultured bacterium. RNAcentral's name for it is "bacterial SSU rRNA". It matches the Rfam family "Bacterial small subunit ribosomal RNA", at positions 27 to 518 of the family's 1533-position model. The record is from RNAcentral.